Molecule: ribosomal RNA, 494 nt
Filed under: uncultured bacterium
Lineage: Bacteria
Description: partial 16S ribosomal RNA
Rfam family: Bacterial small subunit ribosomal RNA
Source: RNAcentral
GACGAACGCUGGCGGCGUGCUUAACACAUGCAAGUCGAACGGUGAAGCGCCUUCCUUUUUGGUGGGUGUGGAUGAGUGGCGAACGGGUGAGUAACACGUGAGUAACCUGCCCCCUUCUUCUGGAUAACCGCAUGAAAGUGUGGCUAAUACGGGAUAUUCUGGGUCUGUCGCAUGAUGGGUCUGGGAAAGAUAUUGUUUCGGUGGGGGAUGGGCUCGCGGCCUAUCAGCUUGUUGGUGGGGUGAUGGCCUACCAAGGCGGUGACGGGUAGCCGGCCUGAGAGGGUGGACGGUCACACUGGGACUGGGACACGACCCAGACUCCUACGGGAGGCAGCAGUGGGGAAUAUUGCACAAUGGGCGCAAGCCUGAUGCAGCGACGCCGCGUGAGGGAUGGAGGCCUUCGGGUUGUGAACCUCUUUCGCCAGUGAAGCAGGCCUGCCUCGUUUGUGGGUGGGUUGACGGUAGCUGGAUAAGAAGCGCCGGCUAACUACGUG